RNAcentral lists this ribosomal RNA (494 nucleotides) under uncultured bacterium. Its description in RNAcentral is "partial 16S ribosomal RNA". It matches the Rfam family "Bacterial small subunit ribosomal RNA", at positions 28 to 507 of the family's 1533-position model. The record is from RNAcentral.
GACGAACGCUGGCGGCGUGCUUAACACAUGCAAGUCGAACGGAAAGGCCUGCUUUCCCUUGUGGAUUGCGGGUACUCGAGUGGCGAACGGGUGAGUAACACGUGAGUGAUCUGCCCCCAACUUGGGUAUAAGCCUGGGAAACUGGGUCUAAUUCCCGAUAGGACUGCAGGGUGGUGCCUGUGGUGGAAAACGAUUUUCUAGUGGUUGGGGAUGAGCUCGCGGCCUAUCAGCUUGUUGGUGGGGUAAUGGCCUACCAAGGCGGCGACGGGUAGCCGGCCUGAGAGGUUGGACGGCCACAUUGGGACUGAGAUACGGCCCAGACUCCUACGGGAGGCAGCAGUGGGGAAUAUGACACAAUGGGCGGAAGCCUGAUGCAGCGACGCCGCGUGGGGGAUGACGGCCUUCGGGUUGUAAACUCCUUUCGACCGCGAGGAAGCCACCUGGUUGGAAGGGUGGUGACGGUAGUGGUAGAAGAAGCACCGGCUAACUACGUG